This 346-nucleotide ribosomal RNA is filed under the name Helarctos malayanus (Malayan sun bear). RNAcentral describes it as "partial 12S ribosomal RNA". It matches the Rfam family "Bacterial small subunit ribosomal RNA", at positions 845 to 1356 of the family's 1533-position model. The record is from RNAcentral. Lineage: Eukaryota; Metazoa; Chordata; Mammalia; Carnivora; Ursidae.
AAAUAAUUUAUUAAACAAAAUUAUUCGCCAGAGAACUACUAGCAACAGCUUAAAACUCAAAGGACUUGGCGGUGCUUUAGACCCCUCUAGAGGAGCCUGUUCUGUAAUCGAUAAACCCCGAUAGACCUCACCACCUCUUGCUAAUCCAGUCUAUAUACCGCCAUCUUCAGCAAACCCUUAAAAGGAACAAGAGUAAGCACAAUCAUCCCACAUAAAAAAGUUAGGUCAAGGUGUAAUCCAUGGGGUGGGAAGAAAUGGGCUACAUUUUCUUUUCAAGAACACUUACGAAAGUUUUUAUGAAACUAAAAACUAAAGGUGGAUUUAGCAGUAAACCAAGAAUAGAGAG